This 72-nucleotide transfer RNA is filed under the name Gemmataceae bacterium. RNAcentral's name for it is "tRNA-Asn". It matches the Rfam family "tRNA". From Rfam's summary of the family: Transfer RNA (tRNA) molecules are approximately 80 nucleotides in length. Their secondary structure includes four short double-helical elements and three loops (D, anti-codon, and T loops). Lineage: Bacteria; Pseudomonadati; Planctomycetota; Planctomycetia; Gemmatales; Gemmataceae. The record is from RNAcentral.
UCCCAGGUAGCUCAAUGGUAGAGCAGCCGGCUGUUAACCGGCGGGUUGUAGGUUCAAAUCCUACCCUGGGAG